CCCUUAGAUGUUCUGGGCCGCACGCGUGCUACACUGAGUGGAUCAGCGGGUCAGGUUGCGCGAAAGUGUUUCCUAAUCUUUAAAUCCGCUCGUGAUGGGGAUUGACGGUUGCAAUUUUCCGUCAUGAACGAGGAAUACCUUGUAAGCGCGGGUCAUCAUCCCGCGCUGAAUACGUCCCUGCCCUUUGUACACACCGCCCGUCGCUCCUACCGAUUGGGUGUGCUGGUAAAAUGUUCGGAUCGGCCGUUUGUCGCGGUUUCCGCGUCAUGUGGCUGAGAAGUUCAUUAAACCCUCCCACCUAGAGGAAGGAGAAGUCGUAACA
Molecule: ribosomal RNA, 322 nt
Filed under: uncultured eukaryote
Lineage: Eukaryota
Description: partial 18S ribosomal RNA
Rfam family: Eukaryotic small subunit ribosomal RNA
Source: RNAcentral